CCUACGGGCCGCACCAGUGGGGAAUAUUGGACAAUGGGCGAAAGCCUGACCCAGCAAUGCCGCGUGUGUGAAGAAGGUCUUCGGAUUAUAAGGCACUUCCGACGGGGACGAUGAUGACGGUACCCGUAGAAGAAGCCCCGGCUAACUUCGUGCCAGCAGCCGCGGUAAUACGAAGGGGGCUAGCGUUGCUCGGAAUGACUGGGCGUAAAGGGCGCGUAGGCGGUUUAUGCAGUCAGAUGUGAAAUCCCCGGGCUUAACCUGGGAACUGCAUUUGAGACGCAUAGACUAGAGGUCGAGAGAGGGUUGUGAUAUUCCCAGUGUAGAGGUGAAAUUCGUAGAUAUUGGGAAGAACACCGGUGGCGAAGGCGGCAACCUGGCUCGAUACUGACGCUGAGGCGCGAAAGCGUGGGGAGCAAACAGGAUUAGAUACCCCUGUAGUC
This 440-nucleotide ribosomal RNA is filed under the name uncultured bacterium. RNAcentral's name for it is "bacterial SSU rRNA". It matches the Rfam family "Bacterial small subunit ribosomal RNA", at positions 338 to 795 of the family's 1533-position model. The record is from RNAcentral.